Molecule: ribosomal RNA, 465 nt
Filed under: uncultured bacterium
Lineage: Bacteria
Description: partial 16S ribosomal RNA
Rfam family: Bacterial small subunit ribosomal RNA
Source: RNAcentral
GACGAACGCUGGCGGCGUGCUUAACACAUGCAAGUCGUACGGUAAGGCCCUUUCGGGGGUACACGAGUGGCGAACGGGUGCGUAACACGUGAGUAACCUGCCCACAACUUUGGGAUAACGCUAGGAAACUGGUGCUAAUACUGGAUAUGUGCUCCUGCUGCAUGGUGGGGGUUGGAAAGCUCCGGCGGUUGUGGAUGGACUCGCGGCCUAUCAGCUUGUUGGUGGGGUAGUGGCCUACCAAGGCGGCGACGGGUAGCCGGCCUGAGAGGGUGACCGGCCACAGUGGGACUGAGAGACGGCCCAGACUCCUACGGGAGGCAGCAGUGGGGAAUAUUGCACAAUGGGCGCAAGCCGGAUGCAGCAACGCCGCGUGCGGGAUGACGGCCUUCGGGUUGUAAACCGCUUUCAGCAGGGACGAAGCUUUUUGUGACGGUACCUGCAGAAGAAGCACCGGCUAACUACGUG